UACGUAGGUGGCAAGCGUUGUCCGGAAUUACUGGGUGUAAAGGGCGUGUAGGCGGGAAUGUAAGUCAGAUGUGAAAUUCCGGGGCUCAACCCCGGCGCUGCAUCUGAAACUAUGUUUCUUGAGUGCUGGAGAGGAAAGCGGAAUUCCUAGUGUAGCGGUGAAAUGCGUAGAUAUUAGGAGGAACACCAGUGGCGAAGGCGGCUUUCUGGACAGUAACUGACGCUGAGGCGCGAAAGCGUGGGGAGCAAACAGG
RNAcentral lists this ribosomal RNA (253 nucleotides) under uncultured microorganism. RNAcentral's name for it is "partial small subunit ribosomal RNA". It matches the Rfam family "Bacterial small subunit ribosomal RNA", at positions 524 to 776 of the family's 1533-position model. The record is from RNAcentral.